CUACUUCCAUUUCAAAUCUGCUGUAUAAAUAGAGAAGCAUCUUAGCCUAAUAUUUCAUCAAAUAUCAGACACUUUCUCUGCAGGCAAAUUAAGAAGGGUUAAAAAUGGUGUUCUCAGCCAUAUUAAGUUGUUUUGUUCCAUCUUCUUCCUCGACCCGAGUCUUCAAUGAUGCUGGUGGGUCUAGUGUGAAGGAACCUAAGAGCAAGUCAUCGAAAUCUUCAUCAAGAGCUCCGAUCCCGGUCUCUUACUUCCCUGUUAACUCCUACCUCUCUCGCUUGUAGUGAUUAAUUUCAUGGCAAGGUGGAGUUAGAAUUUGAAGAAUAUCAAUCGAUUAUUCAUUCAGUCUAGGUAUGAUAUGAUGGGGUUCCUCAUCAUGCAGUUGCUUGAGGAGUGAUGAUGGAGUUUGUUUUAAUGUACAGUUUGAUGAUUAAUUUGCAAUAAUUAAUUUCAAGAAUAUUGUUGAUUUCCUCCAAUUGCAUGCAAUGAAACAGCUCUUUUUAAUGUAAGUCGGGUGCGAUGAUACCAUGAAAUUACCUGCAACCAAAUAAGACAUUAACCCCAACUGAAUUUUCUUGUUGUUUCUGAAUUUGAUCAGUAAAGGAGGAAGUCUUAAAAAAGCCUAUGGAAAAUGACCCCACCAUUUUGGAGAAACACUAGGUGAAAUUUGAUCCACAGAAUGAAGAUCAGGUAUUCAUGGUGGGAUUUGCCUUAUGGUCCAUGACGAUAAAAGCUUAUUAUUCUUCUAUGCAUGCACCAAAGAAAAAGGGAAAAUUAAGCCGCCUUACUUUGCCUUUUUAUUCUCCUAAAAAGUCUGCAAUAUGCGCCUCAAAUCCAACCUAAGUGUCUCUGACACCCUCUUUCUGUCCAUCCAUUAAAAGGUACUAACUUUAAAAUUGUGAUAUCUCACAUAUUAUAGAAAAAAAGUUUGAUUUUAAUCUUGUAUAUAUAUUUUAAAGUUGUGAGUAUCUCUCGAACUUUAAUGAACAAUAUCUACGCAAGAGAUGACAAAUUAUUAUAAAUUAUAUUAGAGUUAAUUUCCUAUCCAAUGAAAGUUUAUUUGACCUUGUAAAUGAUUUUUAUCUUUUUGUUAUCACAAUUCUAUGCAUUAUAAUGAGGACGUUGCGUCCAUUUGAAGGUACGCUAUAUAUGUAUUGAUUCUUCUUCAUUUUAUAAGCAUUUUUUAAAGUCAUGAGUGUUUAUGAGGCACAAAAUGGAUCACUACAAAUAAUAAAAUAUUAAAGAAAAGACAAAAAGGGAACUUCGAACAACUUAUGAAGAUCAACAAUAUAUACUAGACCGUUAACAUUAUCUAUUUAUCUUUGAAUCGAGCAAGCAACAGUGAUUGACAUGCUUGUUGGUGGGACCUAAUUCAACAAUGAAUUGUUUUUUUUGAUAGGAAACAAUGAAUUGUAUUACCACAUAUUUUAAUACUUAAAGUUUCUAUAAUUAAUUAGUCUUUGAAAAUGAUACAUAUUUAUUGUAGAGGCUACAACAAAAGCCUCUGCAAUUAUUUUUAAGAGAAAUUAUUUAAGGGAUUUUUUGUAAUAAGAACAUGAAAUAAUAAUUUAUUUUAUUUUUCAAAAAAGCGUCUAUUUCAUAAAUUAAUUUUAGUGAUUUUCUAGAUUUUUAAAAAUUUACUGAGCACAAUAUUAAAAACUUUUGUAUUCUAGGGAAGUCAUGAGACUUGGUCAAGAUAUGGAAUAUGGGAUGACGUUAAGCCUGAGAAAGAAAAUAUAAUUUCCCGGAAAGUAAAAGUAGGAUGUCUAAGGAAGAAAGCAUGAGAAUCACAUUGGAUGAUUAGUUUUAUUUAAUCUUAUUCCAAAGGAGACUUUAGCUAAUAUGUUUUAAUUUUCUUCAUUGUUUUGGUCCCACCCUCUAUUUGUUUGUUGCCUAGAGCUUCCCAUUUUUGCUGAAAGGUUUUCUUCUUCUGUGUCAGACUAAUCAAAAUUUCAAAGGUGGUGUAAUUUGACACGACUUUCUUCAAAGAUUCGGGCCCUAGUGUACAAAAGCUUAGUUGUCGGGUCUUUUUCUAUAGUCAAAUGACUCAGAUCAAGGUAGCAGCAGCUGCCACGAUUGUCACAGGAAGCUCAAGGGAAUCAACCAUCUGAGAUAUUUAUAGUUUAGCUUUCCUUGAUAUGCAAGUAAACCAACCCUACUUCCAUUUCAGAUCUGCAUUAUAAAUAGAGAAGCAUAUGUUAGCCUAAUAUUUCAUCAAAUAUCACACACUUUCUCUCUUUUCUAGUUUUCUGAUCAGGCAAAUUAAGAAGGGUUAAAAAUGGUGUUCUCAGCCAUACUAAGUUGCUUUGUUCCAUCAUCUUCCUCGUCCCGAGUCUACAAUGAUGCUGGUGGGUCUAGUGUGAAGGGACCUAAGAGCAAGUCAUCGAAAUCUUCAUCAAGAGCUCCGAUUCCGGUCUCUUACUUCCCUGUUAACUCCUACCUCUCUCGCAUGUAGUGAUUAAUUUCAUUGCAAGGUGGAGUUAGAAUUUGAAGAGUAUGAAUGGAUCAUUGAUUCAGUCUAGGUAUCAUAUGAUGGGGUUCUUCAUCAUGCAGUCGCUCAAGGAGUGAUGACGGAGUUGGUUUUCAUGUACAGUUUGAUUGAAGAAUAUUGUAUUAGAUCUUCAUCUUGUUAAUUUCCUCCAACUGCAUGCAAUAAACAGUUCUUUUUAAUAGAAAGUUGGGUACGAUGAUACCAUGAAAUUACCUGCAACCAAAUAAGACAUCAGCCCCUACUAUGAAAAUUAAGAAACACACAAAAAAGUUCAGUUGGGGUUUCCAUUGGAAAGAAUCGGUACUUGAAAUAUUGGCAAUCAGUGAUUACCAUAUGUAUAACUGCUAAGUAAACCCUAGAAUCAGUUAGGGUUUACCAUCAUCGAAGACAAAGGUUGUUCGUAUCAUAUAUUAAGCAAAAACUACUUACAUCAUACAGAAGAUAAUCAGUAAGGGAAGAAGUCUUAAAAAAAGAAAAGGAAACUGAACCUACGAUUUUGGAGAAAUUAGGGUGUAAUUUGAUCCACAAGGUGAUGACUGAUGAGUAGAUAUGCAUGGUGGGAUUUGCCCCAGCGGUCCAUGAUGAUAGAAGGCUAUUAUCCUUUUACACAAGCACUAAAAGAAAAAGGAAAAAUUAAGCCGCCAUGCUUUGUCUUUUCAUCCGCCCAAAAGUCUUGCAAUAUGCACCUCAAAUCAAACCUAAGAGUAUCAAUCACUCUCUUUCUCUCCAUCCAUUAAAAAGUAUUAAUUUCAAACUUGUGAUAUCUCACAUUGUAGGAAAUAAUAGCCUAAUAUUAUAUAUGUAUAGGUUUUUUAAUUUUGUACAUGUACUUUAAAGUUGUGAAUAUUGUUGAACUUAAAAUGGAUAAUAUCUACAUGAAAAAGAGUAAGUCAUUACAAAUGAUAUUAAAAUUGAUCAUCAAUCUUAAUGUGAGAGUUUAUUUGACCCUGCAAUGAAUCUUUUUAUUUCUAUGAUCCUAUGAGAUACCACAAAGAUAUUGUGUACUCAUAUGAGGGUGCGUUAUAUAUGUAUUGAUUCUUCUUCUUCUUAUAAAUAAAUUUUAAAGUUGUGAGUGCCUAUGAGACCCAAAGCGGAUUAGUACAAAUAUUUAUAUAGACUUACAUUUAAAUCUAAUAAAAUAUUAUUUGUUAUAUUAAAAUAAAUUGUUGUUUUUUUAAAUGAAUUGGAAAUAUUUUGAAGUGUUUGUUUAUAAAGAAUUUUAAUAAAUAAUUGAAGAUAUGAAGAUUGAUUGUAGGGGACUCCUGACAUGUGUUCAACAUUUCAAAUAUUGGCGAGUACCUAAGAUAUUUAUUUGAUAUUAUUCCAAAGGAGACUUUAGCUAAUAUGCUUUAAUUUUCUUAAUAGUUUUGGUCCCACCCUCUAUUUGUUUGUUCCCUAGAGCUUCAUAUAUAUAUAUUAGACUAGUCAAAAUUUGAAAGGUAAUAUAAUUUGACAUGAUUUGUCUUCAGACUUGGACGCUACAUUCCCCCUGUACAAAAGUUUGACUGUUAAUUCGGUUUUUUUCUAUAGUCAGAUUAAGCUGGCAGCAGCCGGCACGAUUGUCACAGGAAGCGCAAGGGAAUUUACCAUCUCAUAGAUUAAUCAAUUAGCUUUCCUUGCUAUGCAAGUAAAUCAACCCUACUUCCAUUUCAUAUCUGCAUUAUAAAUAGAGAAGCAUAUGUUAGUCUAAUAUUUCAUCAAAUGUCACACACUUCCUCUCAUUUCUAGUUUUCUCAGGAAAAUUAAGACGGGUUAAAAAUGGUCUUCUCAGCCAUAUUAAGUUGCUUUGUGCCAUCAUCUUCCUCGUCCCGAGUCUUCAAUGAUGCUGGUGGGUCUAGUGUGAAGGAACCUAAGAGCAAGUCAUCGAAAUCUUCAUCAAGAGCUCCGAUCCCGGUCUCUUACUUCCCUGUUAACUCAUACCUCUCUCGCUUGUAGUGAUUAAUUUCAUGGCAAGGUGGAGUUAGAAUUUGAAGAAUAUCAAUCGAUUAUUCAUUCAGUCUAGGUAUCAUAUGAUGGGGUUCUUCAUCAUGCAGUUGCUUGAGGAGCGAUGAUGGAGUUUGUUUUAAUGUACAGUUUGAUGAUUAAUUUGCAAUAAUUUGAUUGAAGAAUAUUGUAUUAGCUAGAUCUUCAUCUUGUUAAUUUCCUCCAACUGCAUGCAAUGAAACAGGUGUUUGAUGAUACCAUGGAAUUACCUGCAAAUAAAUAAGACAUCAAAACCAAUCUGAAAAUUCAGAAACAGCAAAAAAUUAAGUUCAGUUGGCCGGGGAUUCCAUUGGAAAUUAAGAAUCGGUACUUGAAAUGGAAAUUAGUGAUUACCAUAUGGAUAACAGCUAAUAAAACCCCAGAAUCAAUUAGGGUUUAUCAUCAUAUAUUAAGCAAAAACUACGUGCAUUAUACAGAUGAUGAUUGGUAAAGGAAGAAGUCUUAAAAAUGCAUGCCAAUGGAAAAAUUAGGGUGAAAUUUGAUCAACAGAGUGAUGAUUAGGUAUGCAUGAUGGGAUUUUCCCAAUCCGUCCAUGAUGAUAAAAGCCUAUUAUUCUUGUAAACAUGUACUAAAAGAAAAAGGAAAAAUUAAGCCCUCCUACUUUUCCUUUUCACCCCCCAAAAAGUCUCCACUAUGCACCUCAAAUCAAACCUAAAAAUCUCUAUCACUCUCUUUGUGUCCAUUGGUUAAGAAGUACUAAUUUCAAUAUUGUGAUAUCUCACAAGUAUAGAAAAAAAGUUUUUAACACUAUAUAUACACGAACUCCUUUUAAUCUAAUAAAGUCAUGAGUAUCUGUCAUACUAAGAACAAACAAUAUCUAUGUGAGAGAAAAAAAGUUGUUAUAAAUAGUAUUAGAGUUUAUCUUUGAUUUCGUUGUAGAAGUUUGUUUGACCCCACGAGGGGUAUCUGUUUCUUUAAUCCCACAAUCCUACUGAACAUAGUUAAGACGUUGUAUUCGUAUGAGAGUCUAUUCAUGUAUUAAUUCCUCUUAACCUAAUACACUACUUAUAAAGUUGUGAGUACGUAUUAAACUUAGAAUAUGUACUCAUAGUAGGUCAUUACAAAUAUUUAUGCGGACUUACAUUUAAAUCCAAUAAAAUAGUGUUACACAAAUAUUAUAUAAGUAUGAAACACACUCUCAUUUGAGUAUAUAUAUAUAUAUAUAUAUAUAUAUGUACACUACCGAAUAAUGGUUCCUUAAUUUGAUUAUAUGUCUAAACUAGACAAUUGAUAAAAAAAAUACUUUGAAAUGAAAUUGAUGUAAAAGAAAAUAAUGAGUUAUAUAAAGAGUAAUUAAUGCGACCUUUGGCCUUAUAAUUAAGUAUGGUUAAAUUACAUUUUUUAAUUCUCUUAGUAUGUGAGACCCAAAUUAUUGAAUAUUUUUUUAGGUUGUUAUUCAAUUGAUGAGAAUGACAAAUUUAUGGCUACCAACAAUGAUGUUUAUUAUUUAAAGCUACUCAUUUUGAAGAAGUCGCAUACCAAUCCUUAAACUAAAUCAAUUAGGUCUUAACUACUUUUUUAUUUAAUUUUUUUUUUGUAAUGAGUUGGUCAACACUGAAGCCUUAAUUUUAUGUUUGAAAACUUUAUUUUAAAUACACUUCUAUUAAAAAUAAGAAUAAUGUUAGUAUAUUUAAUAGUUAUUACUACUUUGGUCCCACUCUGGAUGUGUUCGUUCUCUGAAGCUUCCCAUUUUCUCUCGAAGGUAAUUUUUGUCUAAUGUCUCUCUAAGUUUUGAAAAGUUUUCUCAAAGACUUGGCCACCACAUCCCCCCUGGACAAAAGUUUAAUUUGGUCAAAUUAAGCAGCCAGAAUUUUCUCCAGAAGCUCAAGGGAACCAUCUCACAUAUUAUUUGGAUUUCCUUUCUAUGCAAGCAAAUCAGCACUAUAAAUAGCGAACAUCUUGGCAUAAUGUUUCAUCGGUCAUACUUCCUCUCAAUAUUUCUGGUUUUCUCAGACAAAUUAAGAAGGGUGAAGAAUGGGGUUCUCAGCUAUACUAAGUUGCUUUGUGCCAUCAUCUUCCUCAUCCCGAGUCUUCAAUGAUGCUGGUGGGUCUAGUGUGAAGGAACCUAAGAGCAAGUCAUCGAAAUCUUCAUCAAGAGCUCCUAUCCCUGUCUCUUACUUCCCCGUUAACUCCUACCUCUCUCGCUUGUAGUGAUUAAUUUCACUGCAAGAGUUAGAAUUUGAAGAGUAUGAAUGGAUCAUUGAUUCAGUCUAGGUAUCAUAUGAUGGGGUUCUUCAUCAUGCAGUCGCUCAAGGAGUGAUGAUGGAGCUGGUUUUCAUGUAUUGUUUGAUGAUUAAUUUGCAAUAAUUUGAUUCAAGAAUAUCGUAUUAGAUCUUCAUCUUGUUAAUUUCCUCCAACUGCAUGCAAUGAAACAGCUGUUCGAUGAUACCAUGGAAUUACCUGCAAACAAAUAAGACAUCAAUCCCAAUUCUGAAAAUUCAGAAACAAGAAGAAAUUAAGUUCAGUUGGGGUUUCCAUUGGAAAUUAAGAAUUGGUACUUGAAAUGGCAAUAAGUGAUAACCAUAUGCGUACAGCUAGUUAAACCCCAGAAUCAGUUAGGGUUUAUCAUCAUGUAUUAAGCAAAAACUACUAAUUACAUUAUACAGAUGAUGAUCUAAAAGGAAGAAGUCUUAAAAGCCUAUUAUUCUUGUUUCCACAUGCACUAAAGGAAAACGGAAAAAUAAAGCCACCUGCUUUGCCUUUUCAUUCUCCCAAAAGUCUCCAAUAUGCACCUCAAAUCAAACCUAUGAAUCUCUGUCACUC
Molecule: long non-coding RNA, 7234 nt
Filed under: Vitis vinifera (wine grape)
Lineage: Eukaryota; Viridiplantae; Streptophyta; Magnoliopsida; Vitales; Vitaceae
Description: long non-coding RNA (VVIN_LNC004390)
Source: RNAcentral